AUUGAACGCUGGCGGAAUGCUUUACACAUGCAAGUCGAACGGCAGCACGGACUUCGGUCUGGUGGCGAGUGGCGAACGGGUGAGUAAUGUAUCGGAACGUGCCCAGUCGUGGGGGAUAACGUAGUGAAAAUUACGCUAAUACCGCAUACGAUCUAUGGAUGAAAGCGGGGGAUCGCAAGACCUCGCGCGAUUGGAGCGGCCAAUAUCAGAUUAGGUAGUUGGGGGGGUAAAGGCCCACCAAGCCAACGAUCUGUAGCUGGUCUGAGAGGACGACCAGCCACACUGGAACUGAGACACGGUCCAGACUCCGACGGGAGGCAGCAGUGGGGAAUUUUGGACAAUGGGCGAAAGCCUGAUCCAGCCAUUCCGCGUGCAGGAUGAAGGCCCUCGGGUUGUAAACUGCUUUUGUACAGAACGAAAAGGUUUCUACUAAUACUAGGAGCUCAUGACGGUACUGUAAGAAUAAGCACCGGCUAACUACGUGCCAGCCGCCGCCGUAA
Molecule: ribosomal RNA, 500 nt
Filed under: uncultured bacterium
Lineage: Bacteria
Description: partial 16S ribosomal RNA
Rfam family: Bacterial small subunit ribosomal RNA
Source: RNAcentral